CUCGAUAAAAAGCAACAUGUAACAGUUACUCAGUAAUUGAAAAUGUAAUGUUGUGUAUUAGUUAGCAUUUGGGAAUAAUUCUAUUGCAUUUUAUUGAAUAUAUUUAUUCUCUUGGAAUUAAUCGAUCCACCGAUUCAACCGACUAGCCUGGAUCGAUCUUUUAUACGCUGUUGAAAUCUAUCAUUUAUAUUUUAAUAUUUCUACAACACACAUGGAUCUUCUGGAAAUUGCGCAAAAACUUGUUGCUGCUCUUCAGUUCAAAUCUUCUGGCAUCCCUGAUCAUUGUUUUGUCGCUGUCAUGUCAGCAUCCAUCAUUCAGUCUUCAGUUUUAUUAAUUUAUUCCGCGGCUUUAGUCUCCAUUGUGUUGCUUGUCUCUGUUUAUCGGUUUUGAUCGUUUUGAUUGAGUGUUCACGAGUGAGGAAAUUACUUCUGCAUGGUACAAACCGUCGAAGCUAGCGGUCACUGUGGUUCCGUAGAAUUCAGGAAAGACAGCUGGCUUUUACCAUUUGCUAGAACAUAACGGAACUUCAAUGAAAUUUACAUCAAAGGAAGAUGGUGCAUUUGACCGCGAUGAGUAGUUGCUGGAGAAGUGAUUACUGAUGAUGCGGGAGGAGAGGAUGGAACAAUGUAGCUACAACAAAACGACAACACAGAAAAAGAAAGGUGUAAAAGAUUGUGUAUUAGGCCAUUUUCUGCAUAGUUUUAAGUUAUAUAUAUAUUGUUUAUUCAAAAGCAAGCUUAAUCUGUAAUCUGUAAAUCUGUAUUAGGACAUAAAAAAAGAUUCAACAUUAUGUAUUCCUACUGAAUGUACGAAAAUAGAAUGAUUUUUAUUUAAUAAAAGGCACCUUUUCAUCACA
Wyeomyia smithii (pitcher-plant mosquito) is the source of this 857-nucleotide long non-coding RNA. RefSeq lists it as uncharacterized. Lineage: Eukaryota; Metazoa; Arthropoda; Insecta; Diptera; Culicidae. The transcript is spliced from 4 exons. The record is from RefSeq and is a predicted model, not a curated record.